GGGAAAGUUGCUCAAUGGUAGAGUGCUUGCCUUGCAUGCAUGAAGCCCUGGGUUCAAUUCCUCAGCACCA
This 70-nucleotide transfer RNA is filed under the name Dipodomys ordii (Ord's kangaroo rat). It matches the Rfam family "tRNA". Rfam says of the family: Transfer RNA (tRNA) molecules are approximately 80 nucleotides in length. Their secondary structure includes four short double-helical elements and three loops (D, anti-codon, and T loops). Further hydrogen bonds mediate the characteristic L-shaped molecular structure. tRNAs have two regions of fundamental functional importance: the anti-codon, which is responsible for specific mRNA codon recognition, and the 3' end, to which the tRNAs corresponding amino acid is attached (by aminoacyl-tRNA synthetases). tRNAs cope with the degeneracy of the genetic code in two manners: having more than one tRNA (with a specific anti-codon) for a particular amino acid; and 'wobble' base-pairing, i.e. permitting non-standard base-pairing at the 3rd anti-codon position. The record is from Rfam by way of RNAcentral. Lineage: Eukaryota; Metazoa; Chordata; Mammalia; Rodentia; Heteromyidae.